GUACCCUGGGUCACCUCAGCCCAGAGCUGGCGGCAGGCCCCCAGCCCCUCAUGUCAGAGCCCCCUGUGUACUGUAACCUGGUGGACCUUCGCCGCUGUCCUCGGUCCCCACCCCCAGGCCCUGCAUGCCCCCUGCUGCAGAGGCUGGAUGCCUGGGAGCAGCACCUGGACCCCAACUCUGGACGCUGCUUCUACAUAAAUUCACUGACUGGCUGCAAGUCCUGGAAGCCCCCGCGCCGCAGUCGCAGCGAGACGGUGAGACCUCACCUCCUGCUUCUCCACUGUCCCCUCAAGCUCUUCCUUCCCCUGAUGAACCUCAAGGUAGUGUGUUUUCUCUCUGGGGCUCUCAGAAGAUCAGAACAAUCAGCCAAGUAUAAGAAGGGUGUGGAGAGUGGGUAGAGGUGGCAUCUGGAUGUAGCUUUAUUUCCUCCUCCCCUAACCCAGAACCCUGGCUCCAUGGAGGGGACACAGACCCUGAAGAGGAACAAUGAUGUCCUGCAACCUCAGGCAAAGGGCUUCAGAUCUGACACAGGGACCCCAGAACCGCUUGACCCACAGGGUUCACUCAGCCUCAGCCAACGCACCUCG
Molecule: small RNA, 587 nt
Filed under: Pan troglodytes (chimpanzee)
Lineage: Eukaryota; Metazoa; Chordata; Mammalia; Primates; Hominidae
Description: retained intron
Source: RNAcentral